AUGGCGCAGCCGGAUGACGGCGACGAGGCACCAGAGCAAUCAACAUAUAUGGCAGCACAUCCAUCGGGACCUCCUCUGCCCACAUCUCCACUCAUGCAGUCGCCGUGGAACACAGUUCCACCAUGGACGAGCAGCGCAACAAGAAACGAUCGGGAGUUUCAAGAUGGAAAUAUGGCAGGCCAUCCAUCGGAACCUCCUCUACCCACACCUCCUCCACUGAUGCAAUCGCAGAACACAAUUCCACCGAGGAUGAGCAGCACAGCAAGGAACGAUCAGGAUUUGCAAGAUAAAAAUAUUGUUCCAAGAGUUGGGAAGACCUUUCAGUGUGAGGAAGAGGCAUAUCAGUUUUACAAUUCUUAUGCUCAAACCAAAGGAUUCAGCAUUAGGAAGUGCCACCUUAAGCAUAGAGGAGAUGGGACUUUAAGUUCUAGAUAUUUUGUUUGUAGCAAGGCAGGUGUGAAGGGCACUCAUCCGACACAUGUAUCCAAGAAAGAACAAACUAAUUCGAGAACUGAUUGCAUGGCUCGUGUUCAAUUCAGCAUCACUCGGGAGGGUAUUUGGAAUGUGCAGAAAGUCAUGCUCGAUCACAAUCAUCAGCUUGUAAGUCCAGAUAAGAGGCACAUGCUUAGAUCACAGCGUCAACUCUUAGAUGCCGAUCGCCAUAUGAUUAAGCAGAUGAGGACAUCGGGAAUUAAACAAGCUGAAAUAUAUGAUUUCUGUGAGCUUUGGUAUGGUAAAGAUGCGUACCCUUCUUGCAAGUGGAUUGCAACAAUUUUUUACGAAGUGAGCGCUCAAAGUAUUUGGAAACCAAAGAUGCUCAAACAUUAA
Molecule: ribosomal RNA, 828 nt
Filed under: Triticum aestivum (bread wheat)
Lineage: Eukaryota; Viridiplantae; Streptophyta; Magnoliopsida; Poales; Poaceae
Description: partial small subunit ribosomal RNA
Source: RNAcentral